UUAAGAUGUCAGCUUUUUGAUAGUUUUUUUGGUUGUAUUUUGUGUUUGUGUUUGUUUAUUUUAACGUCUCCUCAAAAUGGAAAGAUUUUUACGAAUCGUAGAAGUUCCGGGAAGAAUAUUUAUAUGCAGAAGAUUCUGGCCAAAUAAUGUUAAAGUAGUUAAAUUUAGUUAUAUGUGGACCAUAAACAACUUUAGUUUUUGUCGAGAAGAAAUGGGUGAAGUUCUCAAGUCUUCUACAUUUUCCGCUGGCGCGAAUGAUAAAUUAAAAUGGUGUUUGAGAGUGAAUCCGAAAGGUCUGGAUGAAGAAAGCAAAGACUAUUUAUCAUUAUAUUUGUUACUAGUGUCGUGCAAUAAAAGUGAAGUUAGAGCCAAAUUUAAAUUUAGUAUAUUAAAUGCGAAACGCGAAGAGACAAAGGCGAUGGAAAGCCAACGAGCGUAUAGGUUUGUGCAAGGAAAAGACUGGGGCUUCAAGAAAUUCAUUAGACGGGAUUUUUUAUUAGACGAAGCCAAUGGUCUUCUUCCAGAUGAUAAAUUAACGAUAUUUUGUGAAGUGAGUGUAGUAGCGGAUAGUGUAAAUAUUUCAGGCCAGUCGAAUACAAUACAGUUUAAGGUUCCAGAAUGUAGAUUAUCAGAUGAUUUAGGAUUACUGUUCGAGAAUCAGAAAUUCAGUGAUGUCACGUUGUCAGUGGGUGGUAGGGAAUUUCAAGCACAUAAAGCGAUAUUGGCAGCGCGCAGCCCCGUCUUCCAGGCGAUGUUCGAACACGAAAUGGAGGAGCGGAAACACAAUCGAGUCGAUAUAACAGACGUGGACCACGAAGUAUUGCGAGAGAUGCUGAGGUUUAUCUACACGGGAAAGGCCUCGAAUCUCGAAAAAAUGGCUGAUGAUCUGCUAGCGGCAGCAGAUAAGUAUGCUCUCGAGAGGCUGAAAGUGAUGUGUGAAGAAGCAUUAUGUACAAAUUUAUCAAUAGAAAACGCAGCAGAAAUUCUCAUUCUGGCCGACUUACAUAGUGCCGACCAGCUUAAAGCUCAAGCCAUAGAUUUUAUUAAUACACACGCUACGGACGUGAUGGACACCCCCGGUUGGAAGUCAAUGAUCCAAACCCAUCCACAUCUGAUAGCAGAAGCAUUUAGAGCUUUAGCGACACAACAAAUUCCGCCUAUAGGCCCGCCAAGGAAACGAGUGAAGCAGAGCUGAAGCUCGUGAAGCGCUACGAAGCCAAGUCGACUGCUUUAAUGUGUUCAAAGUUCAAAUUCAAGAGAAAGAAAUGAAAAAUCCAGAGACACUCUUUCACCCUCUCAUGUAAAUUAUAGACAGAAACACGCGGAUAUCGAGUGCUGUUUUUUAGUGAUAGACGUCCUUAAUUUCUGUUUGUUUUUUGUCACCUGGUAAUGAGGAGGUUUACACAAGUAUUACCUAUAGUUUUUUUACUACAAACAUACGCUUACGUCAUUCAAUAUUUCUGACGUCAGAGCAUUACCAAAAUAUUGGGAUAUGACUUUACAUCAUGGCCAUGUUUCUUGUACAGUGAGAAGCUAGGCAUCAUUACUUGUCAGAGCAUCCUUUGUCAAAAUAGGCCGAAGUUUCAGCAACGACUUCAUCUUUUUGCUGCGAAACGGCGUCCUCCUUACGCGUCCUAUCUACUUUGGUACUUUGUUAGUUGCGGUUUUCCUUCAUCAUCUAAAAAUUCAUCGUACAGUUCAAUUGCGUCUAUGAAUGCUCUAAUUGAUUCUUCGGUGUUUCCUAUGUGAGGGAUCAGGUUCCCUGCUGUUUUCAGUUCGAAUUUCUCUCCCAUCUUGUCGUUGUUAUGUUCAACUUGUCUUUUCCGUAGUUCUGUUUGGACUUUUCCGAUCUUUUCUCCAAUUUUUGCAAUAAUAUCUGCAAUGAAUUUGUCUUCUGCUGCCUUACAGCUGUCACCUUUGUAUAUUUUAUGCACCGUCCUAAACUGUUCCGUGAUAGUCCUGAGUUUUUCCACCCAUUUAUCUGUGAUUAGCUUAUUUUUCCUUCGUUCUAUAGUGUCUUUUGUGAGAUUCCUAUUUAAUAUAGUUAUAUCUUCCAGAAUACGUUGAAAUCUUUCCUCGAACAUAAAUUCGGCUUGGCCUGACUACGUUACUCAAUAGUAUAUGGCCUAGUGUCUCGAAGUCUCAAUUACUUCGUAAAGCUUAUCAUUGCCGUUAAGUUUAUCAAAUAUAACAAAAUGUAACAUAUAAAAUAAUAUAAUAAAACAUAAAUGUAAGUAAAAUAAAAGGAUCAAUAAUAUUGGAUAACCGUCAAUAUUUAAAGUGUCAGUAAAUAAGUAAGUGAGUAAUUAUAUAAUAAAAAAAAAAUCAAAAUUUCAAUAUGAAAAUAAAAAAAAUAGUCAUCAAACUUACUUCAUAAGCAGUUAAACUGUAUUGUAUUAAAAAGAAAAAUUACUCACGAAUAUGGGUUCAUGUGUCUAUGCAUUUGGUCCUGGAUUCUGGGCGUCUAACCUCAGCAUCUCCAUUGAUUUAGAUACUUCCUGUCGGAUGUGGCGUCGAAGCUGCUUCUUCCAUCGUCGAUACAGUAGCCAUCCGACGAUGAUUAUGGCCAGGCUGAACGAUACAAUUCCCAAAACUCCAGGGAUUGAUAGCUUCUCGUUUUCGCCGGUUUCAGCUGUCACACCUCCGCUGUUGCCUGCUUGGUUUAUGAAGAUCUGUUCCUCUUUUUCUUUAUUCUGGUUGUUUCCCAUCUUACGUGUAGAGCUGCAUACCUCAAUCUAUAUGCGAACCAGAAAACUCCAUUCUUUAACUUAAGGCACGGGUCGCCAUGUGAUGUUGGGGGUUGCUGGACGAAGACACUCCCGAACAAACAAACUUAAACUUUCUACAUAUCUUUAUUCUUACAAGGUUAAAGGUACAGUUACAACUACGUCGACCGACAUUAUAGUUAGGAUAGGUCAAGGUGACCCAUAUCUCGGUAACUAUAUCCCCUGACCACGCGCCAGCAGAGUUCAGCGAACACACUGAUACAACAAUGAAUGUCUCAGGUACUCGACCUUCCCACUUAUAUCUUAUUAUAUUAAAAACAAUGCCCAUAUGUAUUACCAUAUAUGGUUAUGCUAUACGUAUUUCAAUAAUGACGUGUGCUGUGUUUGCAGUCUUGCGAAUGAGUUGAAUACUUUGAACUUUGCUACUAUCGUAAUAAAUUAUACAAAUUGCAACUAUAAUAUUGACCUUAUUCUUAUAACAAAUAAAUUAGGAAAAUUCCGUGAGGGUUGUCGUGUACCAUCACAAGCCAUUUUUUUAGGUAUGAAAACAGGAAAAAGUAGCUGGCGGCAAGAUCCGGGGAAUACGGUGGGUGUUAAACCAAUUUAUAGCCUAAUUCGUGUAAUUUUGGCAUCGCGAUGGCCGAAUGUGCACUUUUUGCCUUCUUCGGCGAGCCUUCACCGCGUUUGCGCCACUGUGUCGACUGUUCUUUGGUUUCCGGUGGAUAAUAAUGCACCCAUAUUUCAAUCAACAGUGAUAAAUCAGCAAAAAAGUCCAGGUCGCCUUUGAUUUGCACAUUCAUUUUCCCCUUUUUGUGGAGAAACUUAUUCACUGAACGAUACUUGAUUUUUUCCAUUUUUCCGAAAACACAAAAGUUGUUUGCUUCUGACUGCUGUAAAAACCAAUCUAAUAGUUAUUUUGCCUUAAAAUUUUUGACAGACGUCAUGUCAUGAAUGGCAAAUAUCAAAAUCGAGAGCAAUGGACAGCCUAAGUCUGACGUCACAAAUGUCACAAAAUUGGGAGGAGCUUAUAUGCACUCCAAACAAUUUUAUUUGUAACGUUAAAUUGUCAUAAGGAAUUUUUCAUUUAUGUGCUUUGUGUGGCAAAAUAAGACUUCAUUUAGGUAUUUCGUUAAAUAAACGUGUUAAUUAAGAGAUUUUUAUUCGUUUUUGCUCAGGUGGUUUUUAUUUAGUGGUUGAAAAUAAACAUAACCUCAAAACUGUUGACGUUCUUAUCAUUGCAUUAAAUUAACUCACCUGGGCAAAAACGAAUAAAAAUCUCUUAACUGACACGUUUCUUUAAAUAAAUACCUAAAUGAAAAGUCUUAUUUCGUCACACAAACCACGUAAACAAUAAAUGCAAAAUUCCUUAUGAGUGUUUAACCUUAUAAACAAAAUUUUUUGGAGUCAAUAUAAGCUCCUCCCAAUUUUGUGACGUCAAGACUCAGGAUGUCCAUUCGGUAUCAAGUAAUGCCAUCUAUCAAGACUAGUUUUGUAUCAAUCUAUCCUCGUGCAGUAAAUAAAAACACUGUAUGAGGAACAUGGCCAUGACGAAAAGUCCUAUUCUAAUGUUCUGGCAACGCUCUGACGCCAGAAAUCUUGAAUGACGCAAGCGUAUUUUUGAAGUAAAAAAACCAUAAUAUAUUUUUCCAUAAAAUUUUAGAUUUUAGAAAAGUUUUAUUAAAUAUCCAUGUCUCUUAAAUUUUAAGUACGAUUUAAUAAAUUGAUGAAUGGAUGAAUAAGCUCUUGAACUGAUUUUUAGAGUUAACCAAAUUGAAUAUUAUUAGUCUUUUUGAAUCGAUCAAGUUCUUAUUAAAAUUAAGUUCAUUGUUUUCUUUUUUGUAAGUUUUAGUUUUAUUAAUGUCCAUAUUUAUUUAAAAAUACUUCAACAUCUUAAAUGACAGACAAAUUUUAGGUUUUGAAAGACUUCAAACACAUAUUGUACGGUCAUAAUGGACAGCCUAAGUCUGACGUCACAAAAUUGUAAGGAGCUUAUAUUGACUCCAAACAAUUUUGUUUGUAACGUUAAAUGGUCAUAAAGAAUUUUUCAUUUAUGUGCUUUGUGUGGCAAAAUAAGACUUCAUUUGAGUAUUUCGUUAAAGAAACGUGUUAAUUAAGAGAUUUUUAGUCGUAUUUGCUCAGGUGGUUUUUAUUCCUUAGUGGUUGAAAAUAAACAUAACCUCAAAACUGUUUACGUUCUAAUCAUUGCAUUAAAUUAACAUACCUGGGCAAAAACGAAUAAAAAUCUCUUAAUUGACACGUUUCUUUAACUAAAUACCUAAAUGAAAAGUCUUAUUUUGUAACACAAACCACGUAAACAAUAAAUUAAAAAUUCCUUAUGAGUGUUUAACAUUAUAAACAAAAUUGUUUGGAGUCAAAUAUAAGCUCCUCCUAAUUUUGUGACGUCAAGACUUAGAUAGGAUGUCCAUACCAAACAUUGUUCUUUAUUUAUAUGAAGUUUACAUUACAUAGUUGACAGUUACAGCUAGGAUAAACGCGACAUAAUUUGACGUUUCUGUCAAUUGUUAACUGUCAUAUGUCUUACCAUUUGUCCUCUAUGUUUUGGGUUAGCUAACACAGGCCUUACUAUGUAGGGCCUUGUGCAUGUAUUUUCUAUAAUAACGAUAGAUGUAUCUUCUUUAAAUGGCGCAACUGAUACAAUUAAUACUGUUUUAUGUUUCAAAUAAAAUUAUAGAUUUUUGGUUUGAUCUGUGGUAACAAUGCGCUAAGAGGUCUCUAUCUAAACAGACUUCAUUUACGCUUCUUCUGGCAUAUAACAAGGAAGUCUGAUAUUAGACUCGUUAAUUACUCAAUUCCAGGAUAUUUUUUCCCUACCUAUUGUUAGAGUGCAUUCAGUAAUGAGUGAGUUACCAAAUGCCUAUAAAUCGAACCAUAUUAUAUAAGAAAAAAUUGGUUCACAUUUUUUAAAAGUAAUUAAUCUAAAUAUUUCACUAACUUAUCACGUAAUAUUUGUUUUGAAACGUGAUAUAACAUGAUCAAGGUAAUUACUGCAUUUCCCUUAUCUCAGUUAUACUGGAUGUUAACGCAAUAAUACAAAUCUGAUAACAGUACAAGCUUAAAUAACCAAAAUAAGAUUUUUGUUUUGUUUUGUUUUUUGUAUUGUACUAUUGCCAGUGUUUCAAGCUUGUCAGCUGUAAUGUACAAUUGAUGAAGAAUUGUCAUUACCCGCGAACAGAUAUUUCACAGAACAUGUUCAUGGAUUUCCCCAACUUUUUUAUUGGCUGUGAAUUUAUUAUAGUGCUGAUGUUGGAAAUUUUCCAAUACAUACCAAUACAUUAUUUCGCCAACACUGCGCUUCUUUAUCUUUACUUCCAUUAUUGGUUUUAGUAUUUCGUAUCUGGUACAUCUCAUUCCAUGACCAAGGUACUCACAAUUUUUGCUUCUUCACUGUUCAUAUUAUUGCUUUUUGCACAUGGGAUGGUCUAUCGAGGACAUCAAAAAGGGAGUCUAGGUAUUAAGUUCAGUCUAGGACAACUGUGGGUUAUCCCCUUCAGCUUGAGUAUGUAUAUUACAAAAUACAAAAGAAAUAAACAAGUGUAUUUGAAAUAAAAGAAGAAAAUAUAUACAUUUAAUUCCAAAUCAUCAAUUUCUACAAAAUUAAAAUAUGAGACGUGACCUGUAGCACAACAAAUAUUUAUUUUAAGUUAGAAUAAUUACAAAAGCGAUUAUACAUAGCGACAAUUAACCAGCGGAAUAAUUUAUGGUCCAUAGGAUAAUACAAAAAGGUAAAAUCCAUGAAUGACAACGAAAAUUAAGAAAACGCUUGAUUGCGUCAAUUAUGUAAACUAACGGCGUAAAUCAAUAAUAUAAGUAAUAUAUAAUUAAUAUUAUAAACGAGAUACAAAGGUGAAAAUAUCUGUCAUCGAUUUUAUGUCAAAUUUGCUUUGUUGCCGUGUCUUGCUUUAUCAUUUAAUAAUAAUUAAAUCAAUGACACUCAAUACCAAAAAAACAAAUGGGGGGACGAAUACUUAACCUGUCUGUCAUGGUACUAAAGAAGUGUUUGUAAAAAGCAGAAACAAGUUUUGAGCGUCAUUUCGAGCAACUAUAAGCCUCUUCUUCUGCUGUACAGACUGUGUAAUUUCACUGUUUGAAAGUCAAAUACGGCUGAUAGAGCUGAUAUUUACAGUCACUACUCUCUACUGCGCAAACAGAAGGUGUUCCAUAAUCCAGAUUUCAUACUUUUUCCCGUAUUUAUAAACUAUCUUUAUGGUGACAAGAAAGUAUGAUAGUUAAACCCAAUAGGGAUUCCAACAUACUGUUAAAAUUAAAUCAAAAUCGCGGCUGGGAGGCAAAAAUAAAUAAUGUUAUUUUAUCAGUUUUUAAUGUCGUUUUAGAUCAUUUUACUUGCGUUUCUCUGUAAUUUUGUUUUGUACAAGAAUUAAUUUUCACUGGAAGAAUUAACUUAAAAAGAUAAUAUGUCCCAUUUAUGUUGUGUUUUGAACUGGGGAAAGCGAAGCAAUCAUUAUAAAGUUCAGUUUUAUAGGUUACCAUCAGUGCUACAUUUUUAGCAUAAAUCAACUAAAUAAGUUAUCAUCUGAGAGACAAAAGCAAUGGUUAAAUGCUAUAAAACGUCCUAUAAAAAUGCUAAAUAACCAACUAUGUCCAUGUUACUUACGCUUGGAAAACUGUCUCCACCGUAGGUUAACUCGGACCCCUUGAGGGAAAGUGGACCUAUAAUUUAUUUUGCCGAUCUUUUGCUUGUACUUACUAGCAACAUCUGUAUUGUCUACCAACAACUUUCGAAAAAAUUCUCAUGUUUAUUUAUUCACUGCUUAAAACUGAAUAAAGUCGUUUAAGUACUUCUACAACCAAAAACUACACAAAAUCUACAAAAUGUUCGGAAAAUACAACUAAAAAACUGUUAACGGUAAAAAUCUUAAUAAACAAUAUAAACAAAUACAAUGUUUGACUCCCAGCGGUUUCAUAAACGUCAAAGUCUUGGAAUAUCCUAUGCAAAAAUUUUUCCAAAACUAGGAAUGAAAAAGUAGUUAUUUUUCAUAUUUUCUUAAUUUGGAAAUAGUUUAGUUCAAAAGCAGUACAUAUGUUACAAACUAAGUGUUUGAUAUGGAUGAAUUUUGCCACAUGUAACUUUGAAGAUAAAAUGACAAAAAUAAUUUCAACUGUUUCUUCUAUUAGGGUACGUUCACGCGCGAUUACAACUACAUACUUUUUACUCGGGCCUUACACAUGGCUGAAUAAAAUGUAUGUAGUUGUAAUCGCGCGUUAUCAAAACAUGUCAUAUGAACGUGCCCUUAGUUUCAUUAUCUUCAUGCCAAAUUUUGUGUUUUUUAAUAAGCUUUUGUGAAUCUCCUCGUUGUUCUGUGAUUGUUUUGUUAUGUAACUUUUUCUUUUUUGUAAGAUAACGUGUUUUCAUUUUAGUGCGGCGAGGUGACGCUAUAUUCAAGAGUAGCCACCUUUGAAAACUAUGAAUAUUAUUUUUAAAGUACAGUUGCCAUCAAGUUAUUGCAGAAAACCUUAAUCUUAUUAGAAAGUCAUUUGCAUUUGCGUCGUGUGGUUAAGUUUCCAGCACAGGUAGAAAGUAAUAAAAUGUUAAUCUACUGUACAUUUAAUUAUUAUACCUGCUAUUCAGUAUGUUUGCCUCUUGAAACUUAAUGACACGACUUGUAAUAGGAUUAAGAUUUACUGCAAUAACUUAUGGUAACUGUACCAUAUGAGUUGCAAUAUUCUGGUAAAAAUUGUUAGUACCACUAUAUAUCAAUAAAUAUCAUUACAAUUAGUAAUUUUUUGGCAUACUAUAAUAUACUUAUUUCGAUUCCGUAAUGUGAUACUUUACCAGAAUGUUUUUUUGUAAUAUUUUUGCUAAAUUUAAUAAUUGGUCAUGAUGUUGGCCCCAUUAUUGUUUUAUCUCCUCCUUAGAGAGGUUUGUAAUUAUAUAACUAAUUUUUAAAAGUAUAUUAAUUUGUAACCCUUCAUAUAUCCAGUAACCUCGUGAUGAUAUGUUUGAAUAAUGAUGAUGUACUCCGAGAAAAUUCUCUAUACGUCUCAUCGACAGCUUGGAUUCAGUUCGCUUCGGGAUACAACACAGGCGGCUCUGAAGACGCUAAAAAGCAGAAACCUUGGUCAGCCGAUGGUGGUGGCCCCCGGAUGGAAUUAAAUCUACAGCUGUUUUUCCUUAAUAAUGAUGGACUUUGACUUUUGCUUUUCUGCUGUUUUUGGAACGGUUUUUGUAAAAAGUAACAGUGAAGAAACAAUGAGAUAUUUAAACCAGUUAAAGGUCUUCCUCUCCAUCUUCUUCCCGGCGGGUCCCGGUCCAGUAUUCUUUUCGGCCACCUGUGCUCUGACAUUCUUUGUACAUACCCGUACCACUGCAGAGCUCUGUUUUCCAACUUUUUAGUGGACUAUUAGACAUCUUCCUAUAAACUCCGAUUCAACUGUUCGUAUUUUACUUUGUAUUUGUUGGAGAACUGUAGUCUCCAACCAAAUAAUAAUAAUAUACCGCGCCGCCUCUGACAAAACAUCAUUACAUAGUGUCUGUAGACCAAUUUCCAAGAAAGUGUUAAUCCACGCCUACCGGCGUGACGGACUGAAUUCGUUAGCGGGGUGCAAGUGGUAGUGAGCUAUCGAGACUCGUAACGAACAGAUACGCAAAAUCUAUUUUUUUCGGAGAGUAUUCUCCACGUUGUAAGUUGCAAAGAACGCCGGUAAAAUGUGAAAAGUCAUUGUCGUGGUGUUUUACGGUAGCUGUUCACUCAAAUGUUCAUAUAAUAUUCUAUUUCUUGCCCUUUCAAAUUCCAUUACAGUUCUAACAAAAUAGCAAGUGUUUGAUUUCAUUAACCAAUUUAACAGGCCAGAAUUACAGCACCUUAUCAAAGUUCAUUAAAAGUUUCUCUACUGAGCAAUCGAAGGCUAGCGGCACAUUGAACUUACUGCAAGUGAUAACCGCUGAAAGACACUGUUCUCAAUUCAAGACUCUCCCUGAAGGGCUAUUGAAAACCAGCACCCCUUCAGUAUUGUUGUUGUCAUUGACCCUACUUCCGCUCCAUGUAUUCAGCACUAUAUUCUGAAGGAUUUUUUUUAUAUAAUUCUAUAAGUAUAAUUGGAAUAUAUUUAAUUUCUGUUUUGUCUUUAAUUAGUUUUGGAAUAUACAGUUUUAAGAAGUUAAAGCUUUAAUACGAGGUUGUCCUUUUAGUUUUGCAUAUAGCCAUAAAGACAAAAAAUAUAUAGACUUACAGUAGUACUUUAACGCUCUUCAAAAUAAGUCCCACCAAGAUCGAUACGCUUUAUGUUCCAACCAAUAAUUGGUAAAACAGUUAUUCCGGUCUUCAGUUGACACCUGCAAAAUUGCUGUUUUAAAGGCAUCGAUGGCUUCAUCCAGUGAGUGGAAUCGAUGCCCACACAUUGAAUUCUUGAUCUUUGGGAACGUGAAGAAGUCGUUGGGACUUAGGUCGGGGCUAUACGGUGGAUGGUUUAAUAAUUCGAUGUUUUGAAGUUCCAAAAAUUCUAUUGUGUUUUAGGCAGCAUGAGCACUUGCAUUGGCCUGAUGUAGGAUGAUUCGCUGUCACCCUUCGCCGAUGUUACCAGUUUUUAUACUUUAUAUUUCUUUUUAUGCGAAGGUAAAUAAGUACUUUAAUUUCCCAACUUGAAGAAAAAGAUAUAAUAAGAAAUCAAAAUCAGAGAAAACAAACUAUUUAUUCUUAUUCAAAAAUCUAUAAAAUCGAUAUAUAUCUGUAAUUAUUUAAUCUCAUGUAAGUAGUUGAAAAUAUAAAAAAAAAACAAAAGAAAGAGAUAAAAAGCCCAAAAAUAAUGUUUAUGCUUAUAGCCCAAAGCCCAAAAAUAAUAUUAUAAUUAUAGAUAUAUAUCGAUUUUAUAGAUUUUUGAAUAAGAAUAAAUAGUUUGUUUUCUCCGAUUUUGAUUUCUUAUUAUAUCUUUUUCUUUAAGUUAGGAAAUUAAAGUACUUAUUUACCUUCGCAUAAAAAUAAACAUAAAAACUGGUAACAUCGGCGAAGAGUAACAUUUGGCGCCCAACGUGGAGCCAGAACUAUCUACUAUGGAGAGUAAAGGGAGGAAAACUUUUCAAGAAUAUAAAACCGCGAUACCCUGAGGCCCAAUCUGAUUAUUAAAAAUCGUUUCUAGUUGUUUAGCGACUUUUAACCCGUAACAUCGCCUUUGUGUAUUGCUUGGUCGGAGUUUCGCGAUAACUUCUGGUAAACAAACGGUUAUAUACCAAUCAGAAGUAACCGUUCUUCGAUCUUUAGGCUUUAUUGGUGGCUUUAUUGUUGGCGCCCUCUAAACGGCUAUAGCAAAACUAAAAAGACAAACCUCGUACAUCAAUCGAUAAUAUCAUCAAUCAGCCAAUCGCGUCCACUGCUGGACAUAGGUCUCCGUCAGUUCUUUCCAGUGUUCUCUACACUGGGCCGCUUGUAGCAAUUUUUCGAUAACAUGGUUUAUUGGAUAUAUUCAAAUUAAUAUACUUACAAUCGAUUUAUUUUUUAAUGUGUUAAAUGCUUACGCUUGAAUUUUAUCUGAGCGAAUUGUCGAUACUGCGGAAAAAGGUGAUCAACGUAGCUACCUCAAAGUAUCUUUAAUAAUUGUAUUACCUAGCAAUAUUUCCUAGCCUUCUCAUUGUCAUUUUAAAAUUGUCGGCUAUGUAAAAUGACAAAAAUCGAUUUCCGAGAGUGGUCCGUUCGCUGACGGUAAAAUAUUGCAAAACAUAUACGUUUUAAAGAACCGCUUGGAUUGACAUGAAAUUUGGCAUAUGUACACAUAGCUAACAUAUCAAAGAAAAAAGGUGAUAUUGUGCCUAUGUGUGAUUUUGCCUGGGGAUGAGUUUGACCCUUCUCGGGGAUGAAAAAAUAUACGUUCAAAAUAAGUCCGGAAAUGGAUAAACUGACUAAUUCUAAGCAACUUUUGUUCUACAGCAUUUUUUCACUUACUUAAUACUUUUCGAGAUAUUUGGGAGUAAAUAUGUUCAUUUUUUAACAAAAAAAAACACAUAUUUGGACGGUUUUUUGCAAAUAACUCGAAGUAAUAACUAUUGUAUCGAAAAAAAAACAUUCUUAGCAAAAAUAUUGCGUUAUAAAUAUUGAGUUAUCUGCAAAAAAUCCGUCUAAAAACGGGGCUUUUAGUCUAAAAACGGGUUUUUAGUUGAAAAAUGAAUAUAUUCACUCGCAAAUAUCUUGAAAAGUAUUAACUUUGUGAAAAAAUGCUAGAGAACAAAAGUUGCUUAGAACUAGUCAGUUUAUUCAUUUUCUGACUUAUUUUGAACGUACAUUUUUUCACCCCGAGAUUUGGUGAAACCGACCCCUUGGGUAAAAGCACAUCUUCACAAUAUCACUUUUUUUCUUUGACUUGUUAGCUAUGUGUAUGCCAAAUUUCAUGUCAAUCCAAGCGGUUCUUUAAAAUAUGAAGCAAAAACCGUGAUUUAAUGGACUAGAGUAAUUUCUAGAAAAUUCAAGCGAAUGCAAUAUUUUUUUGGAUGAAAUUGUUAUGUUGUGUUUAAGUCUUUACUCGCCGCACUUAUAGACUAGACGAUGUACCGUAGGAAUCGUUUUUAAAAGCGACGGAACCAUUAUGUCGAAGCUAUUUUGGUUCUGAUCUAAAUUGAUCUGGUCGAAGAAUAUUGAGAAUGUCAAAAUUAAAGGCAGAUAUUCGGUCACAUGGGAUAGACAUAGUAUGUUGUCUGAUCCACUCUCUGUUAAGUUAAAAAUUGAUCUAUCCUCUAUCCAAAUGUCUGUAAUACAAAAUCAAUGCUUACUAUUUUAUUGCUUAUCGGAGAGUGUAUCAAAAGUGACAUAUUUAUGUUUGGUCUAGUGACUUCAUUAUUACUGCCAUUGUUUAUUUUAUUAACCGAUUAUCACCAUAAAUACUGUUAUUAUGAAGGGAUCAAAAAUAUCGAUAAAAUCCAAGAACUCUUCAACUGUUGUACAAAGUGAUUAUUAAAAAUAAGUUUGCAAAAACUUUGUGUAAAUAAGUCUCGUAUAAGGGUAGAUUUAUUCUUCGACAAGAUCGUUUUAGUUCUCAUCAUUAACAAAAACCAUUUUAACGUUUAAUCUUACAUUACAAAAAUUUCGUUUAGUCUAUGUAAAACAAAAACAUAAAUGUGAUAUAUAUACGACCACAGCUGGUUCCUAUGCGGGGACACUCGACCUUGUAAUUUGUAAUUUUAGUGUUAUUAUUUGUCUUGAUCUCCUGGUUUAAGUUUAAGAUCAAACACAGCAGAUAAAUAAAAUCUUGCGAUCUUUA
This 12947-nucleotide unclassified non-coding RNA is filed under the name Diabrotica virgifera virgifera (western corn rootworm). RNAcentral's name for it is "protein roadkill". The record is from RNAcentral. Lineage: Eukaryota; Metazoa; Arthropoda; Insecta; Coleoptera; Chrysomelidae.